Molecule: ribosomal RNA, 253 nt
Filed under: uncultured bacterium
Lineage: Bacteria
Description: partial 16S ribosomal RNA
Rfam family: Bacterial small subunit ribosomal RNA
Source: RNAcentral
GACGAACCGUGCGAACGUUGUUCGGAAUCACUGGGCUUAAAGGGCGCGUAGGCGGGUCCGCAGGUCCGGGGUGAAAGCCCCCGGCUCAACUGGGGAGGGUCAUUCGAUACUGUUCGACUCGAAGGCAGGAGAGGGAAGUGGAAUUCCGGGUGUAGUGGUGAAAUGCGUAGAUAUCAGGAGGAACACCAAUGGCGAAGGCAGCACUCUGGGACGUGACUGACGCUGAGACGCGAAAGCGUGGGGAGCAAACAGG